Molecule: ribosomal RNA, 373 nt
Filed under: uncultured organism
Description: partial 16S ribosomal RNA
Rfam family: Bacterial small subunit ribosomal RNA
Source: RNAcentral
GUAGGUGGCAAGCGUUGUCCGGAAUUAUUGGGGCGUAAAGCGCGCGCAGGCGGUUCUUUAAGUCUGAUGUGAAAGCCCACGGGCUCAACCGUGGAGGGUCAUUGGAAACUGGAGAACUUGAGUACAGAAGAGGAAAGCGGAAUUCCACGUGUAGCGGUGAAAUGCGUAGAGAUGUGGAGGAACACCAGUGGCGAAGGCGGCUUUCUGGUCUGUAACUGACGCUGAGGCGCGAAAGCGUGGGGAGCAAACAGGAUUAGAUACCCUGGUAGUCCACGCCGUAAACGAUGAGUGCUAAGUGUUAGGGGUUUCCGCCCCUUAGUGCUGCAGCUAACGCAUUAAGCACUCCGUCUGGGGAGUACGGCCGCAAAGGCUG